RNAcentral lists this long non-coding RNA (1432 nucleotides) under Chrysolophus pictus (golden pheasant). RNAcentral's name for it is "lncRNA (ENSCPIG00010010802.1)". The record is from RNAcentral. Lineage: Eukaryota; Metazoa; Chordata; Aves; Galliformes; Phasianidae.
GGGAUUCUAUGGGUCUGUAUGGGAUCCUGUGGGGUUUUCUGGGAUCCCGUGGGUCUGCCCCACACAUCCGUGGGUCCCGCAGGUUCGAGGAGCUCUCCAACCUGAUCCCAUUUGUUUCUAUGGGGCUAUGGUUUGUUUCUAUGGGGUUUAUCUCAACUUUGUGGGUCUGUGUGGGAUUCUAUGGGUCUGUAUGGGAUCCUGUGGGGUUUUCUGGGAUCCCGUGGGUCUGCCCCACACAUCCGUGGGUCCCGCAGGUUCGAGGAGCUCUCCAACCUGAUCCCAUUUGUUUCUAUGGGGCUAUGGUUUGUUUCUAUGGGGUUUAUCUCAACUUUGUGGGUCUGUGUGGGAUUCUAUGGGUCUGUAUGGGAUCCUGUGGGGUUUUCUGGGAUCCCGUGGGUCUGCCCCACACAUCCGUGGGUCCCGCAGGUUCGAGGAGCUCUCCAACCUGAUCCCAUUUGUUUCUAUGGGGCUAUGGUUUGUUUCUAUGGGGUUUAUCUCAACUUUGUGGGUCUGUGUGGGAUUCUAUGGGUCUGUAUGGGAUCCUGUGGGGUUUUCUGGGAUCCCGUGGGUCUGCCCCACACAUCCGUGGGUCCCGCAGGUUCGAGGAGCUCUCCAACCUGAUCCCAUUUGUUUCUAUGGGGCUAUGGUUUGUUUCUAUGGGGUUUAUCUCAACUUUGUGGGUCUGUGUGGGAUUCUAUGGGUCUGUAUGGGAUCCUGUGGGGUUUUCUGGGAUCCCGUGGGUCUGCCCCACACAUCCGUGGGUCCCGCAGGUUCGAGGAGCUCUCCAACCUGAUCCCAUUUGUUUCUAUGGGGCUAUGGUUUGUUUCUAUGGGGUUUAUCUCAACUUUGUGGGUCUGUGUGGGAUUCUAUGGGUCUGUAUGGGAUCCUGUGGGGUUUUCUGGGAUCCCGUGGGUCUGCCCCACACAUCCGUGGGUCCCGCAGGUUCGAGGAGCUCUCCAACCUGAUCCCAUUUGUUUCUAUGGGGCUAUGGUUUGUUUCUAUGGGGUUUAUCUCAACUUUGUGGGUCUGUGUGGGAUUCUAUGGGUCUGUAUGGGAUCCUAUGGGUCUGUAUGGGACCCUAUGGAGUUUUCUGGGAUGCUAUGGGUCUGCCCCACACAUCCGUGGGUCCCGCAGGUUCGAGGAGCUCUCCAACCUGAUCCGAACCAUCCGCAACGCCAUGAAGAUCCGCGACGUCACCCGGUGCCUGGAGGAGUUCGAGCUGCUGGGCAGAGCCUACGCCAAGGCCAGGGGGGUGCUGGACAAGGAGGGGGUGCCGCGCUUCUACGUCAGGCUGCUGGCCGACCUGGAGGACUACCUGAACGAGAACCCCGAGCAAUCGGCGGACGAGGAUGAGGAGAAGAAGAGCCGAGACUCCGAGGGUGAGUGUGGGGCGGCCCCAUGGAUCUGUGGGGGCUGUGGGGGGGGCCUAUGG